UUGACCAUCGAAGCCUCUUGAUUUGUUUUAAUUUUGUUUUGUUAUAUUAAUCUCUGUUAAGACUUCAGACACUCAAAUAAAAAUAUUAUAUAUUUGUAUAUUAAUUGGAAACAUGUUAUGUGUGUUUAGUAAACAUGUGUCCACUAAAUUUUAUAUCUCAAAAGAAUAGUAGUAAAAAAGGCUUGGUUCAACAUCAACUUCUUAGAAAUUCUAAGUAAUAUUUUCUAAAGUUAUGAAAUUUUAAGGGUCUCAUGAAGCUUCAAGGCUUUAAUGAUACUGAAAUUAUCUUUUGGUUUUGCAUUUUGAUUCUUGUUGGCUUGUGAAAUUUUUUGUCUUUCAUCAUGUUGUGUAAUUUUUUCUGACGGAAUUUUAUUAGCUAUCCACUUUCAUGGAAGAAUUGUUCACUUUCAUUUCCAUCCUAAAAGUCAAAUUCAUGAAUGCUUGAGUUAUUUUUAUGAUGUAUAUGUAUAUCCUUUUCAAACCUAACAGAGCCUUAUGUUAGAGCUAUUAAGUUAUAACUGAACAUUUGGUUACAAUUCUGUAAUAUAUCCAAUGGGUAUAAGUUAUAACUUGUAAUAUAUUGUUUUUAGGCUUUCUUUAAUAUACAAUAGAUAUUCCCUUUUUGAAGCCAAAGGAUCACAAGUAUGAUUGGAGAGGUGUACUUCCAAGGAAGAAAUAUUUAUCAAACCUCUUGAAGGUUUAAAGCAGUGAUCUUAUUGCAUAUGGCUUAAUUCCUGAAUUUGUUGGACGGUUUCCUAUUCUUGUCAGUCAGUCAGCUUUAACUGAAAAUCAACUCAUUCAGGUGCCUUCUACUUUGGGACCUGUAGUUGUGAUCUCUUGGAUGAAAAAUGAGUUACUCGAGUUAUAAACCCUCUUUGGCCAUGAAGAGAUCUUUGAAAAGAAUCAAUUUAGGGAAGGUUGUACCCACUGGCUGUUUCCACUGGCUGUUUGAGACUGAACCGCAACCAUAUACUAUACCUUUGAACUCAUUAGUCAUGGUGUAAAACUAUUAGUAGCUCUGUAUUUGGUUUUGUCUUCACACUAGAAGUACAUUUAUGAUACUUUCAUGAUCGCAUAAUCUAAUGCUAGAAUUAUAUUUAUAAAACAUGGUUGAUCCUAAAUAAAUGCUAGAAUUGUAUUUACUUUCAUGAUUAA
Molecule: long non-coding RNA, 1155 nt
Organism: Vicia villosa (hairy vetch)
Lineage: Eukaryota; Viridiplantae; Streptophyta; Magnoliopsida; Fabales; Fabaceae
Exons: 4
Source: RefSeq, a predicted model, not a curated record